RNAcentral lists this ribosomal RNA (399 nucleotides) under uncultured bacterium. RNAcentral's name for it is "bacterial SSU rRNA". It matches the Rfam family "Bacterial small subunit ribosomal RNA", at positions 975 to 1375 of the family's 1533-position model. The record is from RNAcentral.
CAGGGCUUGACAUCCCUCUGAAAUCUCUAGAGAUAGAGGCUCCCUUCGGGGCAGAGGUGACAGGUGGUGCAUGGUUGUCGUCAGCUCGUGUCGUGAGAUGUUGGGUUAAGUCCCGCAACGAGCGCAACCCUUAUCUUUAGUUGCCAGCAUUCAGUUGGGCACUCUAGAGAGACUGCCGUCGACAAGACGGAGGAAGGUGGGGAUGACGUCAAAUCAUCAUGCCCCUUAUGUCCUGGGCUACACACGUGCUACAAUGAAUGGAACAACGGGCAGCUAACUCGCGAGAGUACGCAAAUCCCUUAAAACCAUCCUCAGUUCGGAUUGCAGGCUGCAACUCGCCUGCAUGAAGCCGGAAUCGCUAGUAAUCGCGGAUCAGCAUGCCGCGGUGAAUACGUUCCC